UACGUAGGAGGCAAGCGUUGUCCGGAAUUACUGGGCGUAAAGCGCGUGUAGGUGGUGGGACAAGUCUGCUGUGAAAGCCCCGGGCUUAACCUGGGAAUGGCCAUGGAAACUGGCGAACUGGAGUGUGGCAGAGGGGGGUGGAAUUCCGCGUGUAGCAGUGAAAUGCGUAGAGAUGCGGAGGAACACCGAUGGCGAAGGCAGCCCCCUGGGCUAGCACUGACGCUCAGGCACGAAAGCGUGGGGAGCAAACAGG
Molecule: ribosomal RNA, 253 nt
Filed under: uncultured bacterium
Lineage: Bacteria
Description: partial 16S ribosomal RNA
Rfam family: Bacterial small subunit ribosomal RNA
Source: RNAcentral